Long non-coding RNA from Mustela lutreola (European mink), 3220 nucleotides. RefSeq lists it as uncharacterized. The record is from RefSeq and is a predicted model, not a curated record. The transcript is spliced from 2 exons. Lineage: Eukaryota; Metazoa; Chordata; Mammalia; Carnivora; Mustelidae.
GCGUGUCCGUGAGUCUCUGUGCGUGUCUGUGCAGCCAUGUGCAUCUGUGAGUCCGUGUGUGUGUCCGUGAGUCUGUGUGUGUGUCUGUGAGUCCGUGCGCGUCCAAGUGUCCAUGCACGUCUGAGGGUCCGUGUCUGUGAGUCUGCCCGUGCGUCUGUGAGUCCCUGUGUGUCUGUGAGUCCGUCUGUGUGUGUGCGUCCGCGCGUGCGUCCGUGAGUCCGUGAGUCCGUGCGCGUCCGUGAGUCCGUGCGCGUCUGUGAGUCAGGACGAAGCCAGACGGACGGGCGGAGCAAGGGCUUCCCCGGCACUGUGCGCGGCUCUUCCCGCAGGCGGGACGCGCGGGGCUGCGGGUGGGCGUCGCGCUGUCCGCGCGGUCCCCUCUGCUGUUUUCCGAGGCGGCAUCGGCUUGUCGCCGGCUCCGAACCGCGGUUUCCCGGCGCUUGCUAGGGACCCGCGGGGGCCGCGAGCCGCCACACUGCGUGUGCUGUGGAAACCGCGGCUGUGACCGUGCCCCUGCCCGACCCCGCCGCGCCGACAUCCGCGCUCCGGACGGCGCCGAGCGCCGAGCACCGAAAGCCUCAGGCGUUCUGGGCAGCUGGACGCGCCUGUCCUCGCCCCUUCCCUUGGGAGAAGCCCGAGUGCGACCUGGGCCCGCGGGAAGGCCCGGGUCACCGGCCCCGCUCGGCCCCUCCCAGCGCUCCUCCUUGGCCAUCUCUUGGCUUUUCCACGCAACAAACGAGUCCCCUGGGCUCAAGAAACCAUUUCACAGACGUGAGGAAGGCGCCGAGGUGCUUCCAAAAUGGGCGAUGCCGCGGCAGGACCGUGUUAGCGACAAGAUGAAAGAUGUGAUUUGGUUUUGGAAUAGUCACCAUCUCGGCGAGCUCAGCGUGAACUAGAAUAUUAGAAAGAAUGGAUGAAGACCAAGGGAAAACUUAUUUCGUUGCUACUUUCCUUAGAACUGUGAGAGAGAAAGUUCCCUUCUGGAGCACUCGGAAAUGAGUCCUUUUGUGUCACUUCGGUCCGCAGGCACGGAAGUGGGUCCAGUAGACGAUUACUACACCGUUGGAGUGACGGAAGGUGGGGACAGUGGGCAGAGGUAGGAGUUGAAUUAUAGAUAAUUAUCUUUGGGAAACGCAAGUUUGAAUAUUCAACUGUGUAAGAGUGAACAAUGACAGAGCUUCAAGCUUGAGGGAAGUGGAGACUCAGGGAGGGCAGAGAGCUGGUCAUGGAAAAGAAGUCGUGUUUCCAUCUGCUCUAUUUAUUGAACAACUACUAUGGGCCAGGCAGGGCCAGUUUGGGCUUCCGCAACGGGGUCCCAUCUUUCCUGCGUACUUUUUGUAGUGUGACAUCUUCGAUGAAUAGCCACCACGGUAAAUUCAUAAAUGAAGACACAGGGGUUUGGGCAUAUUUUCCCAGUCCUGCUAAGGGAGCCUAUGGUGGGGAAUGGAAAUACCGGAAGACGUUGAGUACAGUCUAGUUCUGCCAGUGACCCCAAAACGUCACACAAAUCGCAUCAUCUCUCGGGGCCCUGACUUUUCUUACUUGUAAAGCAAAGGGCUUGGAGGAUAGGGAUACACAAUUCCCAAACUUUGGUUUUUGCAAGGAAUCUAGGAGUCCACAUGAACCAAGCCUGUUUGUUGAUCGUACUAAUAGGACUUGCAGACAUAUGUAAUUCUGUUUCGCAAAUGUGUUGAGAGGUGCUAUGAUGAAGAAAAUGCAUAUUUACUUAAGUCACGCACUUAGAAAAGUUAUUGUAUUUAUCAAGUCAGAAGAUGCUAAAAGCCUGUCCCCCACAUGCCAGCGGUCAUGAAUAAAUUCAGAAGCAGUCUUCAUAUUAGAAAAUGCUGGGAACCCUAGAUGACAGAGGUAAUUUCUUAAUAUUAUUCUACUGAUAUUCUUGUAAUACAAUUGUGUAAAGGAAAAAUUUGGUUUUUAGGUGAGAGCUGAAAGUGUUUUUCCUGCACUGACACUUGUCAUCCUCAGCACCCACGUUCGCAGUCAGGACGACAGCCUUUCAGACACACUCCAGGUGCCUUCGUGCAGGCCAGUGUCGUUUCUGUCAUGCUAAUGGGCAGUUUUGUCUAAUGACACACACUGGACGAGACUUGUUGAAGGGAAGUCUAAGACAGAACAAAAGGGACCAUUCCGGGAUCUGACUUUGGUUUAUAAAGCAUUUCAUAGUUGAAUACUGAGUAUAUUGAAAGGAUCGAGUGGUGAUGUGGUGACGGAAAAAUAGGUGACCUGAUGACAUCACAGUAGGACUUGGUGGCAAAAUCAGAAACUCAAACCUCUCCCCUUGACAUACAGCAGUUCCUACUACUAGAAUGUACUGUGUCUCAGCAGGACGUCAUUAAAGAAAUGCUGCAGGGAUUGCCUCCAUGGUGAAACACUGGAGGACAGAUCCGAGUCCGAAUGGUACAAGGAAGUAAAGACAGCUGUUGCCAGACAAUCCAAGACCAUCACAGACUAAAGUCCAACUAUUGCCAUUUUCUGGGUCACUAUCCUAAUUCAUGCCCUCUCUGUCUGUAACAGGACCCAGACAUAAGAACUUUUUGCCCUGUUCAUACUCAAAACUACAUUGAAGUGAAGAUGUGUUCCAACAGAAACAAAUACCAAAAUACCUAAGAAUAUCUUUCUUUUCAUUUGUGUUUAGUCACUCAAAAUCUACAAAAUCAGGCUUAAAGUACAAAUAAGUUCUUGCCUUUCCUAUGCAGAUGGUGUGUUUGAGAGCAUUAAGCUGGUAAAGCCCUUUUUGAACUUGAUUUUAAAAAAUAGGUUGGUCAUCUGAAUAGAAGCUGAUUCUCCCGCAUCAGAAAGCAUUAGGUCGUUUCAUUUGAAUAAAAUGGUGCUGAGUUGAAUCUAAGAGAUACAGUCUUACAGUCUGUGAGCUUCUAGUUUAAAAGCUUUUCAAACUUUGGAAAUUCGUUUUUGGUUCAUUCUUGGGUGCAAAACCAAGGAGAGUAAGGGUUACUCUGCUUAAAUGGGACAGUGCCCGUUCGAAGUUGGGACUUACGGAUGCCUUCGCUGUGAUGAGCACGGGUGUUGUACAGAAGCAACCAAUGCCGGUGUAAUUCACCUGGAGCUAAUACGACACUGUCUGUUACCUACCUACAAUUUAAAUACAAACUUAAAAAAAGAGAAUAUAUACUUGGGAAAGACAGUAUCUUUAAAAUGCAACAUUCAUACUCAAUAAAUAUGCUGUAUAUGUAGAUUUAAUAAA